Molecule: non-coding RNA, 100 nt
Organism: Chaetura pelagica (chimney swift)
Lineage: Eukaryota; Metazoa; Chordata; Aves; Apodiformes; Apodidae
Source: Rfam
UGCCAUGAUGUCGUAAUUUGCGUCUGACUCUGUGCUCAGUGACAGUUGCCUGCUGUCAGCGUGCUGGGACAGAUGUUUGAUGAACAGCAAACGCUGAGCA